RNAcentral lists this ribosomal RNA (440 nucleotides) under uncultured bacterium. RNAcentral's name for it is "partial 16S ribosomal RNA". It matches the Rfam family "Bacterial small subunit ribosomal RNA", at positions 338 to 795 of the family's 1533-position model. The record is from RNAcentral.
CCUACGGGAGGCAGCAGUGGGGAAUAUUGCACAAUGGGGGAAACCCUGAUGCAGCGACGCCGCGUGAGUGAAGAAGUAUUUCGGUACGUAAAGCUCUAUCAGCAGGGACGAACAUGACGGUACCUGACUAAGAAGCCCCGGCGAACUACGUGCAAGCAGCCGCGGUAAUACGGAGGGGGCAAGCGUUAUACGGAUUUACUGGGUGUAAAGGGAGCGUAGACGGCAGCGCAAGUCUGGAGUGAAAUCCCAUGGCUUAACCAUGGAACUGCUUUGGAAACUGUGCAGCUAGAGUGCAGGAGAGGUAAGCGGAAUUCCUAGUGUAGCGGUGAAAUGCGUAGAUAUUAGGAGGAACACCAGUGGCGAAGGCGGCUUACUGGACUGUAACUGACGUUGAGGCUCGAAAGCGUGGGGAGCAAACAGGAUUAGAUACCCGGGUAGUC